CACAGAGCAAGCAGAUAAGUUUCCCAGCGUUUACAGACUUCUCUUGGACUUCUGCAUAUCCUCCCAAUCAUCGCCAUAUAAAAACACCAGAUACAAUUCAAGAAUGUGCCAAUAACAGCUCCCUCAUCACAGGCUGGGUGGAUUUCCAAAGCACCAGAUGCUGAAUGCAGCUCCUCCAGGAAAGGUGGUAAUUGACAAUAGCCCCCCCAUGGAAGUCUCCCUGCAAAAAUUCAGGAAACAUUAGUUUGACAUCAUCAUCAUGUUUGCCAAGACAGCAAAAAUCCCAGCCGACAAAACUUCAAGGAUGAUGAAGUGGAACAGUGAGAACAGCGCAGAAUGACUGAUCAUUUCAGGAUGUCUUGAUGUCUUUAGCAAGAGUUUCCAAAGCUGGAGUUUUCCAUUGUCUCUGAAGUAGGAGCAGUAGGGAGUGGCUACUGUGGGAUUGGCCAUGGUGAUGUAGUUAGGGUUUCCUCCUCUUUUCUACCUUCCUCUCUGCGUUCAAGUGGUUCCUGGAGUUAAAAUUAUUUUUUAAUAUUUUCAUUUAACAACAAUAAAGACUUUUUUUUAUAAUUCAUUAAGUUGAAAUUGCACAGAAUAGUCAGUGCCUGAAUUUUUGCUGAGCUGAUCAUCACGUUGGCAUUCCAGGCCCUCCAUGUGCUGUGGACCUGGGGCAUGUUAUUUAGCUUCUCUGGGUCUUAAUUCCCUUGCUGGACACAUGAAGAGGUGUUGUAUUAGCUGGGCAUUUCUCCAGCUUCAGUCGUUUGGGUAUCACCUUCAUUAUAUUUGCCAUGUGGACUUCUCAUUUAUAUAAUUACUUCCUUAACAUUUUCCCCCUAAAUUGACUCAUUUGUUUAUUUGAGUCCUUUAAAAAAAAAAGUCUUGUCUAUAAUAUAUAGGAAAUCAUGGGGCAGAUAUGAUAUUGACUUUUUCUAAUACACAUAAAUAAGUGCAUAAUUAAAAUUAAAAGAUUUUCUACAUAUAUACAUAAACUGAAACUACACUCUACCACAUUGAUAUGUAGACCCCACCCUGAGAAACUGGCCAAACUGAUUUCUAAGCUCCCUUGAAGUGCUAAGGUAUUAUUGUUCACAUCUGGCCUCUCCUACCUAGGUUUAUUUCUCAUGUCUUCCUAAAAUAAAACCUCAAGUAUGGCCAGAUCAA
Myotis myotis is the source of this 1161-nucleotide long non-coding RNA. RefSeq lists it as uncharacterized. The record is from RefSeq and is a predicted model, not a curated record. NCBI's taxonomy places the organism in Eukaryota, Metazoa, Chordata, Mammalia, Chiroptera, Vespertilionidae. The transcript is spliced from 2 exons.